Molecule: long non-coding RNA, 474 nt
Organism: Mustela lutreola (European mink)
Lineage: Eukaryota; Metazoa; Chordata; Mammalia; Carnivora; Mustelidae
Exons: 2
Source: RefSeq, a predicted model, not a curated record
UGCAGGGCCUGGGGUUGCCUGGGUAGGGGCACAGUUUUAACAAGGUGUGCUUUGGGCUUUCACAAGGCCCACUACCAAUGGAAGCAAGAGCCUUCAAAAUGCUAAGUCAAGAGAUGUGGUGUUGGCAAGGUCUGUACAGGUUUUCUAAAGGAGGAGACCCACAGCAUCUAGUCUGAGAGAGAGACCGGGAGAGAAGGAACACAAGCACAAGGAGUGGAAGAGGGAGAAGCAGGCUUCCUACAGAGCAGGAAGCCAGUGGCGGGGCUUGAUCCCAGGACGCUGGGAUCAUGACCUGAGCCAAAGGCAGAUGCUUAACAACGGAGCCACCCAGGCACGCUACCUCUCUGUUUUUAUCUCCAGUUGCUUUUCUGCUUUAUUCAAUCUCCUGCUGUACUAGUUUCAUUUCUCAGGGCUUAUAUUCUUGUUCUUCUCCAUGCCUGAAGUGCUUUUCCCAAAUAUAAGAUAUAUAAUUUA